RNAcentral lists this ribosomal RNA (292 nucleotides) under uncultured bacterium. RNAcentral's name for it is "partial 16S ribosomal RNA". It matches the Rfam family "Bacterial small subunit ribosomal RNA", at positions 505 to 796 of the family's 1533-position model. The record is from RNAcentral.
GUGUCAGCCGCCGCGGUAAUACGGAGGGGGCUAGCGUUGUUCGGAAUCAUUGGGCGUAAAGGGCGCGUAGGCGGCCGGCCAAGUCGGAUGUGAAAUCCCUCGGCUCAACCGAGGAACUGCACUCGAUACUGGUUGGCUAGAGUCCGGGAGGGGAUGGUGGAAUUCCCAGUGUAGCGGUGAAAUGCGUAGAUAUUGGGAAGAACACCGGUGGCGAAGGCGGCCAUCUGGACCGGAACUGACGCUGAGGCGCGAAAGCCAGGGGAGCGAAUGGGAUUAGAAACCCUCGUAGUCC